UGGGGAAUUUUGGACAAUGGGCGAAAGCCUGAUCCAGCAAUGCCGCGUGUGUGAAGAAGGCCAUCGGGUUGUAAAGCACUUUUGUCCGGAAAGAAAUCCUUGGCUCUAAUACAGUCGGGGGAUGACGGUACCGGAAGAAUAAGCACCGGCUAACUACGUGCCAGCAGCCGCGGUAAUACGUAGGGUGCAAGCGUUAAUCGGAAUUACUGGGCGUAAAGCGUGCGCAGGCGGUUUGCUAAGACCGAUGUGAAAUCCCCGGGCUCAACCUGGGAACUGCAUUGGUGACUGGCAGGCUAGAGUAUGGCAGAGGGGGGUAGAAUUCCACGUGUAGCAGUGAAAUGCGUAGAGAUGUGGAGGAAUACCGAUGGCGAAGGCAGCCCCCUGGGCCAAUACUGACGCUCAUGCACGAAAGCGUGGGGGAGCAAACAGGAUUAGAUACCCUGGUAGUCCACGCCCUAAACGAUGUCAACUAGUUGUUGGGGAUUCAUUCCUUAGUAACGUAGCUAACGCGUGAAGUUGACCGCCUGGGGAGUACGGUCGCAAGAUUAAAACUCAAAGGAAUUGACGGGGUCAUA
Molecule: ribosomal RNA, 575 nt
Filed under: uncultured bacterium
Lineage: Bacteria
Description: partial 16S ribosomal RNA
Rfam family: Bacterial small subunit ribosomal RNA
Source: RNAcentral